Molecule: small RNA, 652 nt
Filed under: Pan troglodytes (chimpanzee)
Lineage: Eukaryota; Metazoa; Chordata; Mammalia; Primates; Hominidae
Description: processed transcript
Source: RNAcentral
ACAGAAUGUUUUUGUAGAUAAACCAGCAUUUCCGGAGUAUAAAGUUUCUGAUGCAAAAAAGUCCAAAUUCAUACUUUUGCAUUUUAGCACUUUUAAAGCUGGCUGGGACUGGCUUAUUUUGUUGGCAACGUUUUAUGUUGCUGUGACUGUACCUUACAACGUUUGCUUUAUUGGCAAUGACGACCUGUCCACAACUCGGAGCACAACCGUCAGUGACAUUGCAGUGGAGAUUCUUUUUAUUAUAGAUAUUAUUUUAAAUUUCCGAACAACUUAUGUCAGCAAGUCUGGCCAAGUUAUCUUUGAAGCAAGAUCAAUUUGCAUCCACUAUGUCACAACCUGGUUCAUCAUUGAUUUAAUCGCUGCCCUGCCUUUUGAUCUUCUGUAUGCUUUCAACGUCACAGUGUUGGGAGGUUGAUAGUGCCAACAUCUUUAAAACGUUUAUGACUCAACUGAAAGGAAAGCUCCCAGGAAAAAUCUAGUGUCUCUCGUGCAUCUUCUAAAGACAGUGCGCCUCUUGCGUCUUUUGCGUCUGCUGCAGAAGUUAGACCGCUAUUCCCAACACAGUACUAUCGUCCUGACUCUGCUCAUGUCCAUGUUUGCACUCCUUGCACACUGGAUGGCGUGUAUCUGGUACGUCAUUGGAAAAAUGGAG